This 253-nucleotide ribosomal RNA is filed under the name uncultured bacterium. Its description in RNAcentral is "partial 16S ribosomal RNA". It matches the Rfam family "Bacterial small subunit ribosomal RNA", at positions 524 to 776 of the family's 1533-position model. The record is from RNAcentral.
UACAGAGGUCCCAAGCGUUGUUCGGAUUCACUGGGCGUAAAGGGUGCGUAGGCGGUUUGAUAAGUCUGAUGUGAAAUCCCGCAGCUUAACUGCGGAACUGCAUUGGGAACUGUUUGACUAGAGGACUGGAGGGGAGACUGGAAUACUUGGUGUAGCAGUGAAAUGCGUAGAUAUCUGGAGGAACACCGGUGGCGAAGGCGGCAUCCUGGACCAAGACUGACGCUGAGGAGCGAAAGCCAGGGGAGCAAACGGG